Molecule: non-coding RNA, 10763 nt
Organism: Benincasa hispida (wax gourd)
Lineage: Eukaryota; Viridiplantae; Streptophyta; Magnoliopsida; Cucurbitales; Cucurbitaceae
Source: RefSeq, a predicted model, not a curated record
CUUUGCCCAUUUUUGUAUACCUAUUCCUUCUUAUUUUUCUUUUACCAUUUAAAGGAUGGAUUUUUAUAUUUUUAAUUUUCAUUUUGGGUGGGGUGACUCAUGGAUUCAUUCUAUUCCCGCCCCCAAUAGAUAGGCGAGAUGGAGUGAAAUUGAACUAGAAUUUACAUGGAUUCGACCCUAGCUAGAAAAAUAAAGGAUCUAACUACGACUCUAGAGUUUGGUUUGUUUAAGGUUAUUCUCUUGUGUCGUAAGUUACUGAUUUUGCUAGAUAAUCAUACUUUACUUUUUUUUUUUUACCAUUUGUUAAACGGACUAUUGAAUGCUUCAGAGUUUGGCAUACUUGUGGUCUGGUUGGGUUUAAUCAGUAGCUUGUAUCAUAUGAUAUUGGAUGAUUGUGGUGGAGUCAAAGACAAUUAUUGGUUUUGGUAUAUCUAAGGUCUUACCAAAAAGUUCUGGAUAAAAUACAGAUUUCAAUAUAAAAGAGUGAACACAAAAACUAGGGGAAUCAGGUGUCCAACUCUAGUUAUGAUAGAAAUUGUAUUGAUGGUUUUCAAAAUUUUAAGAGGGGGAAAAUAUAAAACUUUCACACUAAAGAGAGGACCACAAGAAGCCAUAAACGGUCUCCAAAAUAUUGUCCAUGCCUUCUCUAUUCCCAGUGGUUAUUCUGUCAUCAGUCUUUCCCUCCAUAACUCACGAAAUAGCCAACAUUGAAAUAACCCUCUUGGUUGCACCAAUUUGUUCAAGAGGCUGGAUGCCUUGGAAUCAAGUCUUCUACAUACUUUCUUGACCUCUUGCAUUGAGCCCAAUAUUUGGAUAUUCUAUUUGGACAAGGAUAUUGCCUCUAAAGCUGAUCACAAGUAUCAUUAUUCAUUCAUUUCUUUAUAUGAUAGUCACUACACUAAUAUUUGGAAGCUUUGGAUCCAGCACUUUUAGUCACUUUUGAGCUCCUACUGACCAACCUAAUUUGCAAUUCUUUUUUUGAGGAGAUAAAAGCUAACCAAAAGUAGAGAUUGAAUAAAAAUUAAAUGGUAAAAGGAAUUUGCAUAUGAGCUAGCUUGAAUCCUCCAUACUUUCUGCACAUAAGCUUUUUUGAGCCGUUUAUGCCCUUAGCUUUAGUGUGUUACCCCUCCCCUCAAACAAUGAUCUUGGAAGUUCUUACUUUGCUGGAAGACUAAGUCUAAGACCUCUCUAUCAUGUAGGAAGCAUAGACGUGUAAAUAUUGGGGAAGUGUCCAUGUAAGACACGUGUUCAACACAUGAAAUAAAGUGUUUGCUUUUUUUAUUAUUUUAUUUUAUUUUUUAAUUAUUUUUUAAUUUUCGAACAUGUUGGGAAACGUCCAAGACACGUUUUCGACAUGCCCGGAAAAGAAAGGUAUUAACUUGCUUAAAAAAGGAGUCAAACCUAUAAAACCCUAAAUGAUCGAAGAAAUAACGUUAUAUUGAUUGAACAUCAGCCACCUUGCUCCCUCCAUUGAGCAAUGUUUCUCAAGGAGCGCCUUCAACAGAUGCCAACCUGAUCCCCUCCUUAAAAACCAACUACAUCGACCCCUCUUCCUUUACCAAGCGCACUAUUUUUCUCCCUGGCAAACACUCCACGACCAUCUUACCGUUGCCAUCAGAUGCUGACACGGAUGCAUUUCUAUGUAGCCCAAUGCCAUUUUCUCCUUCAUAGCACAUAGGAGAAGAAUGGUCUGAUCAUUAUCCUCAAAAUCGAUAUAGAUCUUUCGACCCAACUCCUCACUUGAUGCCUUGGCCCCAUGGUUUAAUGAACUAGGCCUCUGUAUAAAGGCGAUCCCUACUAGAAAAUAAUCCAACCGGUUAUCUUCAAAGAAAAAAAGGAAUGAGAGAACUUCGGAAUCUAGAAAGUUUCAUCUCCAAUGACAAAAAAACAAAAGCUCAGUUUAGAGAAGAUUAUGCAUCUGCUCGAGUCUACUCUUAUCAACCCCGCACAUCGGUAUCAGUUCAUGGAUAAAGUCACGUUUUCUUUAAUCGAUCUUUUGGCCAUGGGACUUUUACAAACUUAGAUCUUCUUCUUUUUUGGGCGUUUCAUCAACAACGUGCUCGUUUAUCUGCCUUUGUUUAAGGAGUAUCUUUUGUAUCUUUUUAGUUGUAUUUGACCAUUUUGUAUAGGCUCCCCUUCCUCUUAUAUUCAUCUUUUAUCAUCGUUGGGGUUGUCUUCUCCUCAUAUUACUUUGGGAUUCGUUGUAAUCUUUUGUGUACCUCUUUCGAUUAUUUCAUUUAUCAAUGAAAUGUUUCUUAUAAAAAAAAAUAUUGAUUGAACAAGGAGGAGAUGAAGCACUAGUUUAGAAAGAUUGAAGGUUUUUUCCCAUUUGAAAUAACCCAUAACACCCAUUUGGUGGGAAGGGAUCUUUGAUCUCGCCAUCAGAGUUGUGAGAGUGAGAGCAGGAUCGUCCCCAUCCUUGAAAAGCUAUUGUUAUUUGUGUGUGGGGUACUGGUUUUAUUUUGAAUUGAUAUUCCCAUCUCCACAUCUAGAAGAAUUUUUUUUGUUGUGGAAGGACCACCAUUAGUUGCAUCACUAUAUGUACAUAUAUAUUGGAUUUCUUUUGUUUGUUUAUUGUUAUUUUUUCAUAUCUUGGUAAUCACUUUUAAUUGUAGAUAAUAAUACAAUUUACUUUAAGAUAAAUUUUUCUUCUCCCCAGGUCAAUAUGACAAUAUAUAUAAGUAAAGUAAAUAUAAAAAAAGAAUAUAGGAGGUUAGAUACUGCAUAAUAUAUUAAACAAUGCAAAAAAAAAAAAAAAAAAAAAAAAAGCAUCUAUGUCCUACUUUUUUGGAAAUUGAUGUGUCGCCGUGUCCAUGUCAUAUUGCAUGUUCAUAUCCAUGCUUCUUAUAUUUUAACUACGUUCAAUCCUUGGUUGGAAAACAUGUCUACUAUUAGAAAAUUCAUACCUGUAGAAAGGUGGUAGGGGGGAUUGAGAAGAUAGCUAAUAUUGACAUAUUGUUACACCAAAAAUUUAAUUUUCUUCUUCAAGUUUUGUACGAGCGAUACAGAGGGAAACAAUUACAAUAAACCUAUCUUGCGUCGUGUUUCCUUGUCCUUACCUUUUGUUUCCCUUGGAGGGAUGCUUGAUGGCCUUGGCCAAAUCUUUGUUGGAGGUUUGCUUCAUUUAAUUUUUGGGUUUUUGUUGACCUUUCUCGCAUAGGGAGGUUUGUGGGCUGUGCUUUUUUACUUGCUCUGUUGGAUUCAAAUCUCUAGUCCUCAUGUUGUUCAAAGAGGGUUUUCUAGUUUUCUUGUAUACCACAUCUUUCAUCUUUUUUGUAGCUCUAACAUUCUGUUUACCUUUUGUUGCCCUUGGAGAGGUGUUCGUUGGCUUUGGCCAAUCUUCCUCGAGGGGUUUGCUUCGCUUAAUUUUUGGGUUUUUUUUGACCUUUUUCGUAUAUAGUGGUUCUGGACGUUGCUUCUUUGCCUACUUUGUUGGAUUCAAUUUCUUGCAUAGAGAGGUUGUGGACUGUGCUUCUUUACUUGUAUUGUUGGAUUCAGUUGAUUUGAAUCCAAGGUGGAAGGGAUCUUUGAGUCUAGUCCUCAUGUUGUUCAAAGAGGGUUUUCUGGUCUUCUUGUAAACCACAUCUUUCAUCUUUUCUGUAGCUCUAACAUUUUGUUUACCUUUUGUUGCCCUCGGAGAGGUGUUUGUUGGCUUUGGCCAAUCUUCCUCAAGGGGUUUGCUUUGCUUAAUUUUUGGGUUUUUUUGACCUUUGUCGUAUAGAGUGGUUAUGGACGUUGCUUCUUUGCCUACUUUGUUGGAUUCAAUUUGUUUGAUUCCGAGUGGAAAAGAUCUUUGAGUCUAAUUGUGUUCUUCAAAAGGGUGGAAAGAAGGGUUUCUUGUGGAAGUUUCAUUAUGAAAAGGCCUGCAAUAAAGUGAAUCGGGUUUUCCUAGAUGAUGUGAUGAGUAAUAAAGGUUUUGGGGCUAAAUGGAGAAUAUGGAUUUUGGGAUCUCUCUCCAUAGUAAUUGGUAAAUUAUUCAAUUAUUAUAAAUGGUCGACUGAUGCUUUUUGAUAUAUGUGAUGGUUAAAUGCUCUAUGAUGCCUUCAAGAAUACAUUGUUUUGCCUAAUUAAAUCCAAUCGUAAAUCUAACUAGGUGCCUGGUGAGUCUAGGGUCGAACGCAGGGAUUGCUUGCUAUUGAUGCGAUGACACUAUUGUUUCAAUCUUGACGCUAAUUUGUUGUUAAAUAAAGGCAAUGAGUUUAUGUUCCUAAUUGUUGAAAUGAAAGCUGAUGAAUGCGUUGGAAAUCACCAUCGUAAUGGAAGCAACUUAUGCAAUGCGAUGAAGUUUUCCAAGGGAUGAAUUAGGGUUGAGGCACAUAUUCAAUAACGUUCCCAAAGUAAAUGCACAAACCAUGGGUAUACAAAUUACUCACUAAUGAAUUUAGCCAAUGAACUUGCGAGUAACCACCUCUAGUUUUGAUUUGCGAGUAAUUUGCUUAGAAAUAGGACAAUAGGACAAUUUUCUUUUCUGUAGCUCUCACUAAUGAUUAUUCUGACGACAUGCAUUAAAUUCCAUAUCUUGACGUGCUGUCUGCUUCACGUCAGAAGUUCAUUGGCUCUACUGUGAACCUUUCUUAUCAGCUACCAACUUGGUCUUUGAUUUGACUUCCACCACCUAUGCGUCAUGUCACAUUCCCUUUCUUCUAUCGCAUGAGUCUAUGCAUAGGAAUUUCUUCCGCAAUGAACUGUUGAUCGCAUGAUAGGAUUUCUGCAUUUCAAAAAGCACAAUUUUAUAAUUUAAGGGUUAUGAGAUGUUGUAUACAUGCGAUUGCAUAAUAUAAUGAAAUCAUGAAUUUCUUACCAAUUCUGUCGCACUGUCCAUGAUUUUUCUUAAUUUUUUUGGAUAAAAGAGGUAAAAUAACUUGUAUUUCUACAAGUUAUCUUUGACCUCAUUAGAAAAUUAUGGCUAGGCCCUAGGUGUUUCAAACAAGGUGAUCUACUUGAAUAUUUUGAUGAAUCCUUUGAUUGCUAAAUUAAAUCUCCUUUCAUUGACAAUAUAAUUUACACAGGAUAGGAAAAGGAAAACCAUAGCUCUUGGAUGUACUUAAAUUUUAAUGAAUCCCAGAGUUGUAUAGAGUUGUAUAAGGCUAAUGGAGAAGGAAAAAAAAAAUCUGAAGCAAGGAUUGUGGUACCUUGGCUUUUGGAGCACAACUCGUGCAUCAUGGCUAUACCUUCAUCCUCUAAAAGAGUCAAACGAACUCAGAAACAAACAAGUGGCAUAAAUGAGUUAAAGAGGCUAUUUUCAUCUAUCAACUAUGAAAAGGUCUCCUCCAAGGCUAUCUCUGGUGGGUCGACAUCAACUAAAUGAUAAUUCUCUCUUGGAAUGUGCAAGGUAUUAACGCCCGAGAAAAACAAGUGGUGGUGAAAAAUCUUAUUCUUAAACACAAUCCAAUGGUGGUAAUCUUUCAAGAAACCAAGCUUGAAGAGGUGGAUUGUACAAUCAUAAAGUCCCUUCGGAGGUAUCAUCAUCAUGUGGAAUGAUCCUUCCUUUGUAUCCGGAGAAGUUAUUAAAGGUCUUUUCUCCAUUACCUUGCGUUUUUACUUGGUUGAUGGUUUUCCUUUUUGGCUUUCUGAUGUUUAUGGCCCAUCUCGUGCUAGAGAUAGACUCCUUUUCUGGCAGGAACUAUAUGAUCUCCAAGGCCUUUGUACUGGAAAUUGGAUCCUUGGAGGAGACUUCAAUGUAUCUUGAUGGUCAUAAGAAACUCCUAGUGGCAGACCUCAAUUGGCGAGUAUGAAAGCUUUUAACUGUUUUAUUGAUAUGGUGGAUCUUCUUAACAUUCCUUUACAAAAUGGCUUGUACACAUGGUAUGGAUAUAGACAUUACCCUUGUCUUCACCCUUAUAAACAUAUUUUUUAUUAUUGAUAGCAUACAACAAAAAUUUGCAUAUACCACAUCAAAAUGAUUGGAAAGACCCAUCUCUGAUCAUUACCCUAUCUUACUUUCCAAUGGCGCGGACGAAUGGCUACACCUUUCCGUUUCGAAAAUAUGUGGCUGAGGCACAGAGAAUUUCAAAGCAUAGUUAAUUAUUGGUGGAAGAAUACUCCUUUGAUUGGCAGACCAGGGCAUGAUUUAAUUGUCAAUUUAAAAGGUCUUAAAGAGGUUCAGGAAGAGUGAACAAACCCACUUUCGGGUGCAUUCAUACUCAGAAAAAUCAACUCAUGGUGGAAAUGACUAUGUUGGACGACCUAGAGGAAUCAAAUGAUAGUCUGCCUAGCCACAGGGAACAGAAAAAAAGCCUCAAGUCACAACUCCUCACUGUGGUGGCCAAGGAAGAAACCAUUUGGAGGCAAAAGUGCAAAUCCAUUCGGCUUAAGAAAGGUUAUUUACAAAGAAUGACAAUCUACAUGCUUUCCCCAUUCUUGCUUGGCCCUCCUUACUAAUUAGUCUCUGAUGCUGGAAUUUCCAUUCACAUAACAAGAAAUUUGGUGUGCGGUUUGUGCUUUUGGCACAAACAAGUCCUCGAGCCUUGAUGGUUAUACCGUCGAGUUCUAUAAAAAAAAAUCUUGGAACAUCCUUAAGAACGACAUAUUGAGGGUGUUCCAGGAUUUUUUUUUUAAGAAAGGGAUUGUCAAUGUGAAUCUUAAUGAGACUUAUAUUUGUCUCGUACCCAAGCGUGCUGAUGCUUGGAGAGUUGGUGAUUUCAGACCGAUCAGCCUCACUACCGGGGUUUACAAGAUUUUGGUGAGAGUCCUCUCUAAUAGGCUUAAGAGUGUUCACCCCUUCUUUAUUUCCGAGCACCAAUAAGCCUUUAUUGAGGGCCGUCAGAUACUUGAUGCAUCACUCGUUGCAAAUGAGCUCAUUGAUGAGUGGAAUAGAAAGGGCAAGAAGGGCAUUGUUAUCAAACUUGAUAUAGAGAAGGUUUUCGACACCGUUGAUUGUGCUUUCUUGAACUCCAUCCUUCAAGCUAGAGGCUUCGGCUGUCUUUGGAGAAAAUGGAUCAUGGGAUGUAUUCCAUCUGCUAAUUACUCUAUCUUCAUCAAUGGGUGUCCUAGGGGGAAAUCGGUGCCACCAGAGGUAUUAGCCAAGGGAUCCCCUCUCACCUUUCCUUUUCAAUAUCAUUAUUGAUACCCUUAGCAGGAUGUUGUCACUUGCGGAUUUGGAUGGGAGGAUAUAGGGUUUCAGGGUGGGCAGGGACAGGCUCACUAUCACUCACUUACAAUUUGCUGAUAACACUCUACUUUUCUCCACUUACGACCAUGCACUUAUUAAAAACUUAUUUAAUGUUAUUGAUUCUUUUGAGUCUGCUCGGGUUUAUCCAUUAAUCAUCAGAAUAUGAGAUUAUGGGUAUUAAUCUCUCUGCUAAUGAGCUCCAAUGUGUUGCGGAUUUAUAUGGGUGCAAAGUGGGUUUGUGGCCAAAUUCUCCUACCUUGGGCUUCCCCUCCAUGGCAAGCCUCACUCUUUCGUUUUUGGCUUCGGUGGUUGAAAAAAUUGAGCAAAGGAUUAAGGCUUGGGGUUCAUCCUACAUUUCUAAAGGAGGGAGAUUAACUCUCAUUCCAGCAUCCCUGAGUAAUCUUCCUACAUACUACCUCUCUCUCUCUUUACAAACUCCCUAGUAAGGUGGCUCUUACUAUGGAAAAGCUCUAUAGACAUUUCCUUUGGAAAGGGAAAGAUGAUGGAUCAAACUUGCACCCUGUCCAUUGUGACAAAGAUACCUCUCCCCAAUCUCUCAGUGGCUUGGGAAUCAUUAAUCUCAAGCUUAGGAAUGAGGGUCUUCUUGCAAAAUGGAUUUGCCGUUUUAGGGUGGAGAAAACUGCUCUUUGGAGAAGUGUGAUUGCUGGUAAAUUUGGUACCUCUAGAUGUGGCAACAAGGCUGGUUCCUGUUCUAUGUCUACUGCUAAGGGCCCAUGGAAAGCCUUGUCUUACCUUCAACCUUGUGUGGAUCAAUAUGUUGCUGUUACUUUGGGAUCUAUAUCCUUUUGGAGAGACUCAUGGGUGAAUAACAGCCCGUUGAGGUUUGCUUUUCCCAAUCUAUUUGCGUUAUCCCUUGCCAAAGAUGCUAUGGUCUCCGAGCUAUGGAACUCGAUGGAGGGUGGGUGGAACCUUCAUCCCCGUAGACAUCUCAAUGACCUGGAAACAGAAGAAUAGCUGUCCGCUCAAAUUUGCUUGUAUCUCAUCAACUCCUACUAACAGAAGACAAGUGGUUUUGGAAGCUUGAGCCCCUUUGGGCCCUACACUACAAAGUCUUGGAUCGACAACAAUUAUGAUAUUGGCACCAUUUCAUUCGAGGGCCCAACUGGUGCUAUUUGGUCCGAUCAAUAUCCUAAAAAAAUUAAAAGUUUCCUUUGGGAGCUUGCUCAUAAGGUGGUUGUCACUUAUGAAAAGCUUCAGUGCCGUCUCCCCAAUAAGAUGCAAGUGGCUUUGGAAGCUUGAGCCCCUUUGGGAUGUACACAACAAAGUCUUGGAUUGACAACAGCUAUGAUAUUGGCACCAUUUCAUUCGAGGGCCCAACUGGUGCUAUUUGGUCCGAUCAAUAUCCCAAAAAAAUUAAAAUUUUCCUUUGGGAGCUUGCUCAUAAGGCGGUUGUCACUUAUGACAAGCUUCGGCGUCGUCUCCCUAAUAAGAUGCUUUCACCCUAUUAGUGCUCCCUUUGUAGAAAUGACACUGAAAACCAAGAUCAUAUCUUCAUCCUUUCUCCAAGAACUUUUGGAACCAUAUUCUUCAGGCUUUCAACUAGUGUGUGGUCUUUCCUGGGCACAUCACCCAUUUUCUUUCCCUUGUUUUAGACAGCCACCCUUUCAAGGGUAGAAAGGGUCUUCUCUGGAAACAGCUCGUUAGAGCUUUUUUGUGGUCAAUUUGGCUCGAACGAAACAACCGCAUCUUCAAGCACAAAGCCAAACACUUUGACAUCUUCUUAGACCAUGUGUCUAACAUUGCUAUCUCUUGGUGUAAAUUGUCUAAGCAUUUCAAUUCUUAUGGCUUUAAUACUCUUUUGUUCAAUUGGUGAUGCCUUUUGUAACUGACAUCUUCUUAGACCAUGUGUCUAACAUUGCUAUCUCUUGGUGUAAAUUGUCUAAGCAUUUCAAUUCUUAUGGCUUUAAUACUCUUUUGUUCAAUUGGCGAUGCCUUUUGUAACUCCUUUGUUCCGGGGUCUCUCUCCCCCUUUCUUUUGUAAUUUCAUACAUCAAUAAAAUUGUUUCUUAUAAAAAAGAAAAAAAAAUCUGAAACAGUAUUCCACGGAUUAAGGAAAUUGGCAUCAAAGAAUUUCUCCUUUCCUUUAUUGGGUUGAUUUGAUGUGGACUAUUGCACACUUCCCAUUUAUAGAUAAUGGUUGUGUAUUUGCACAUUUUCAUUGGUAAAAAUAAGCAGCUUCUUAGGUUGGUAAUUGACAUGUGGGGAAGUACCAUCUACCUAUAUGCACACCUUAGGCAAUAUUUUACAUAGUUGGAAACCCUUUUUCUAGGGGGUUUUGUGCGCUUGGUUUUUUGUAUUCCCGUAUUCUUUCAUUUUUUGUUUCUCAAUAAAAGCAGUUGUUUCUACAUAUUUUUUUCUUUUCUUUUUUUUUUUUUAAAAAACCUAUUUGCACACCUUCAGUUAGUAAAUAUCAGCAACAACGGAAGGUCUUUUUCUUCACCGCUCUUCCCCUUCCUCAUUACUUUAAGGGCUCAUAACAAUGCAUUCCUAGCUAAAUGGCUCUGGUGGUUCCAUCUCGAGUCUAAUUCCCCUUUGGCGAAGGGUUAUUGUGAGCAAAUAUGGCCCUCUCCCUUUCAAAUGGAUUGGAAGAGGGAGGGACUAAAGGCAUUUGUAUAACCCCUUAGAAAGGUAUAAUUGUGGGGAUCAUAUUCUUUUCAGUUUUCAUAGUUAGUCCAGUGUUCGGUGGGUGAUGGGAGGGAUUUUUUUUCUUGGAGGAUAGGUUGUUGGGGGAUAGAUCCCUCUCCGGUCUUUUCCCUUGUUUGUAUCAUUUGUUAUCAAUUAAGAAGCACUCAAUGGCAGAUGUGUUGCCCUUUUCUCAGACCUUUUCUUUGCCUAUGCUGGGGUUCCAACAUUCUGUCUGGUAGGGAAAUAUCAGAUGUUAUUAUGUUUCUCUCUUUGAUUUUGGAGUUUUGUUGUAGUCUGGGGAGCAAGGAUGUUCUUUUUGUAGCCAUUAUCACAAGACUUCUUGUGAAAGUUCUUAAGGUUUUUUUUUUUUUUGGCCAAUCCUUCUCCCUUGAAUGGUGCCUUGGCCUUCCCGUGGAAGGUGAAAAGUCCAAAUAAUGGUUGGUUCUCCAUGGAAUGGGUUAACACAUCGGAUGAAGUUUCGAGAAGGUUGCACAAUUUGAUUGGAUCCUUUCUUAUAUCUUUUGUAGGCGGGUGGAUAAGGACCUUGAUCAUAUCAUCUGGAGUUGGAACUUUGCGCAGGGGAUUUGGAGUUGUUUUUUCGAGGAGUUUGGCUUGAGUUCGUCUAGACGUAGAGGCUUUACAAAGAUGCUUGAGAAACUCCUUUCCCUCCUUUUUGUAAGAAAUGAAGUUUUUUGUGGCAGUCGAAGGUCUGUGUAGUUUUUUGGAGUAUUUGGGGGGAGGUGAAUAACUGAGUCUUUAGAGGGUUUGAGAGACCUUGGAGUGAUGUUUGGAUCCUUGUUAGGUUCAUCGUCUCUGUGGGAUUUGGUGGCUAAGCCGUUAUGUAACUAUGCAUCAGCCUUAUUUUGCUUAACUGGAGGCCCUUUCUUUAGUUUGCCUCCUCCUUUUGUGGAGGGCCCUUUUUUUGGUUUAUUGUGUCUGCCUUUUUGUAUGUCUUUGUAUUCUUUUAUUUCAUCUCAGUCAAUGAGAGUAAUCCAUUAAAAAGAAA